This 851-nucleotide ribosomal RNA is filed under the name uncultured archaeon. RNAcentral describes it as "bacterial SSU rRNA". It matches the Rfam family "Archaeal small subunit ribosomal RNA", at positions 85 to 922 of the family's 1478-position model. The record is from RNAcentral.
ACUGCUCAGUAACACGUAGCUAACCUACCCUUAGGACGUGGACAACCCCGAGAAAUUGGGGCUAACCCGCGAUAGAUGUAUUGUCCUGGAAUGGUAUUACGUCUAAAGGUAUCCCAUACAUGUUUGGUAUAUGCCUAAGGAUGGGGCUGCGGCCGAUCAGGCUGUUGGUGAGGUAAUGGCUCACCAAACCUUUGACCGGUACGGGCCAUGAGAGUGGUAGCCCGGAGAUGGACACUGAGACAAGGGUCCAGGCCCUACGGGGCGCAGCAGGCGCGAAACCUCCUCAAUGCACUUACGUGCGAAGGGGCUACCUCGAGUGCCACCUGAUGAAGGUGGCUUUUCCUAGGUCUAAAAAGCCUUGGGAAUAAGAGGGGGGCAAGACUGGUGUCAGCCGCCGCGGUAACACCAGCCCCUCGAGUGGUGGGGAUGAUUAUUGGGCCUAAAGCGUCCGUAGCCUGCCGUGUAAGUUUCCCGUUAAAUCCAGCGUCUUAAGCGUUGGACUGCGGGAAAUACUGUACGGCUAGAGAGUGGGAGAGGUCAGCGGUAUUCUGGGGGUAGGGGCGAAAUCCUUUGAUCCCCGGAGGACCACCAGUGGCGAAGGCUGCUGUCUAGAACACGUCUGACGGUCAGGGACGAAAGCUGGGGUAGCGAACCGGAUUAGAUACCCGGGUAGUCCCAGCCGUAAACGAUGCAUGCUAGGUGUUGGGUUGGCCACGCGCCACCCCAGUGCCGCAGGGAAGCCGUUAAGCAUGCCGCCUGGGAAGUACGAUCGCAAGGUUGAAACUUAAAGGAAUUGGCGGGGGAGCACCACCAGGCGUGAAGCCUGCGGUUUAAUUGGAUUCAACGCCGGG